This 6465-nucleotide long non-coding RNA is filed under the name Elaeis guineensis (African oil palm). RNAcentral describes it as "long non-coding RNA (EGUI_LNC025220)". Lineage: Eukaryota; Viridiplantae; Streptophyta; Magnoliopsida; Arecales; Arecaceae. The record is from RNAcentral.
UAUCAAUCCAAGAUCGAGUCUUUUCCCUCAAUUAAUCUCAAAUCUCUGCUGAAAGUUCUAUCUUUUGGCUAGAAAUUUGAUCUCGUUGCUAAAAAAACGUAUAAUUCUUCCAGGUCUCGGUGCUGGCGCCAAACGUGCCGGCGUUGUACGAGAUGCACUUCGGCGUACCGAUGAGCGGCGCCGUCCUCAACACCAUCAACCUCCGCCUCGACGCCCGCACCAUCUCCGUCCUCCUCCACCACAGCGGCUCCAAGCUCGUCUUCGUUGAUCCCCUGUCCCUCCCCCUCCUCCGCGACGCCCUCCGCCUCCUCCCUCACUCCCACCAACCCCCCCGAGUGGUCCCCAUCGAAGACCCCUACGAAGAGAACGCCAAUAGCUCCGAACUUUCCGCCGCUGGUGGCGGUCUCACCUAUGAGAAAUUGAUCGGGAUGGGCGACCCGGAGUUCAAGUGGGUCCGCCCCAAUAGCGAGUGGGACCCCAUGGUCCUCAACUACACGUCCGGCACCACCUCCGCCCCCAAAGGCGUCGUCCACUGCCACCGCGGCCUCUUCAUCAUCACCGUCGACAGCCUCAUCGACUGGUCCGUCCCCAAGCGCCCGGUCUAUCUCUGGACCCUCCCCAUGUUCCACGCCAACGGCUGGAGCUUCCCCUGGGGCAUCGCCGCCUCCGGCGGCACCAACGUCUGCCUCCGCCGCUUCGACUCCGCCACCAUCUACGCCGCCCUCGCCACCCACCGCGUGACCCACAUGUGCGGCGCACCCGUCGUCCUCAACAUGCUCGCCAACGCUCCGGACUCCGCGAGACAGCCGCUCCCCGACCGGGUCCAUAUCCUCACGGCCGGCGCUCCGCCGCCGGCGGCGGUGCUCCACCGUGCGGAGGCGCUCGGCUUCUCCAUCAGCCAUGGGUACGGGCUCACUGAGACGGCGGGGCUGGCGAUAUCCUGCGCGUGGAAGGGGGAGUGGGACCGACUGCCGGCGGCGGAGCGGGCCAGACUCAAGGCUCGCCAAGGUGUUCGAACUUUGGCCAUGGCCGAGAUCGACGUCAUCGACGGGUCCACCGGUGAAAGCGUCAAGCGGGACGGCGCCACCAUGGGCGAGAUAGUCCUCCGUGGCGGGUGCGUGAUGCUCGGCUAUCUAAAAGACGAGGAGGCGACGAGCCGGGCGGUGCGGCCGGACGGAUGGUUCUACACCGGGGACGUGGGGGUCAUGCAUGCAGACGGGUACGUGGAGAUCAAGGACAGAUCCAAGGACGUGAUCAUCAGCGGCGGCGAGAAUUUGAGCUCGGUGGAGGUGGAGUCGGUGUUGUACGGCCACCCGGCGGUGAAUGAAGCGGCAGUGGUGGCGCGGCCGGACGAAUACUGGGGGGAAACGCCGUGCGCGUUUGUUAGCAUAAAGGAAGGAGUACUGGCGGCCCCACCGACGGAGAAGGAGGUGAUUGGUUGGUGCCGGGAGAGGAUGCCGCACUACAUGGUGCCCAAAACGGUGGUGUUCAAGCCGGAAUUGCCCAAGACAUCAACGGGGAAGAUUCAGAAGUAUGUGCUGAGGAAGAUGGCUAGGGCCAUGGGAUCCCCUCGGCCAAGUCGUAUGUAGGGAGUCCGUCGGUUCGACGGCGAGCUGGGGCCCUGGGAUUGAUAUCUACGUUGUGGGGUUUUGGUGCAAUAAUCUAAUGGUGAACUCAUCAGUCAUCAAAAGCUUGUACCCUCAUGUACCAAAAAAAAAGCUUGUACCCUUAAAACAAUUUGAGAUGCAGAUCUGGGAUUUUUCUUGUGCGCGUGCGUUUGUGUGAUGAGGAGCGGCCCCUUUCGGGUAUGUAUGCUUGUAGAGGGACAAAAAAAAUAAAAACAAAUUAUAGCUUUAGAAAGUUGGUCAAUAAAAAUAUUUCAUUAAAAUUCCAUCCAUAUAAGGACCACUCAUUAAGUUUUCAAAUAUAAAAUAAUUCAUAAAAUUAUCUUGCCUAAGAAGUAUCAAAUAUAUAUAGGGGUGGAAUCGGGACCGGGCUACAUCGGGUCCCAUCCAAGUUUGAUCCGAAAAUUAUUUUUGAACUUCGGAUCUGAUUUAGGCGUGAUAAUUUAACAAAAACUUAGAUCCGAGUCCUGUUCGAAUUCAUUUGGGUCAGCCUGAGAUAUUACUUGAUCCCAGUGGGACCUGAAGCAGAGAAAAUAGAAACCGUGAGUCUGUAACAGCUACUCUUAUUUGGGAAAUCCACUGGCCAUUCAGCCCGUUCCUUUUUUUUUUAUUAAAAAAAAUAUAUAACUCCCGUCCAGUCGUUGGUACCAUUCAAACUUCAGAUAAGAAUCUUGGUCAGUUGGUCUAGAUGCACUGGUAAUAAGGACCACCCACCAUAUCUUUUGGGAAGGAAAAAAGAAUGGCAGCUUCUCGGAAGGGUACAGAUAGCACCAACAUGCAUCCCUUGUCUAUGACAACUUCUUUUAUAGGAUUAGGAAUUUAGGGUCACAGGAUGGUGCUAACCACAGCCCCAAGCCCCAAUAUUGGGUAUUUUGGCACCAUACUGAUAGGCAAAAAUUGAAAAGUGGAUGUCUUCAAAAUUUUAUAUAAAUUAAGUUACCAUGUGGAUGUGUCUUGCAGCAUCAUCAAUUUGUCAUAUUUUCUUCCUAUGCAAGUCUUGUUAUUUCCUUACAGAGAUAAAUUUAUUCCAACAUAAUGUAUCGAAAUCAUUUUGUCCAAGAAUAGAAAAUUUUAGUACCAAUUAAUGGCCCCUCUUUGGAAAAUUACGCACUUCUCGUUCUAGAAAAGGCGAUAACUUCGUAAGGUUACACGAGUUGCAAAUCUAUAAUGAAGAGCUAAUCAUAAUGUAUUUUUUGACCCCAAAACUGUGUUUUGACAGCACACAAGACAAAGGAAACCUGAGCUCAAUACUAAUGGAACGCGAAAUAAAAGACAAAAAAAACAAGUCUCCUUGAUUUCCAGUUUAGACAGACUGGGUCAUUAUAACUGAAAAACUUUAUGCAACUGAAUUAUUAUACAAAUAUUUAUUGCGGCAUCAACCAAUUUAACGUAUGCUUCUUAAAAAUGCUUCAUUCUUUCUUUCCAGAUAUAAACUUAGAGCUAUCACAGCAAACAUCUUUAACAUUUAGACUUUGGCUCAGGCCCGAAUUUCGAAUUAGGAUCGUGCUUGCAAUCGGAUCCGGGCCGGGCCAAUAAUAGUCUCGAACCACGUCCGAAAAUGAAAUAAACUUUAUAUCCAAGCCUAAAGCAAAUCUGAUUGUGUUUGAGCCUAGCUCAAGUCAGACCUGCAGUCAGAUCGGCCCGAGCUUAUUUUCAAUCUUAAAUAUAUAUUAGUUUAAAUAAUAUCUCUCAUGAGAAAGAACAGUUGGUUUACUUUUUUUUGGUAUUGACCGUUUGAUCUUACCUCAUAAAUAUCUCAAGGCACAAUGGACUCUUUUAUUUUUCUAUCUGCAAAGAUCCAAUGAUCCAAUGGUGGAUUCAUGCAAAAAAUAUCACCCUCGUCUACAUAUGAUUUGUAACAUAUAUAUACCUUCCAUGAGAGGUGGUUCAUCAAUCAUUGAGAUUCUAGGGAUCUAUUUGUAUAUAUUGCUAUGCUGUACAAAUGCAUAGAAACAUCUAUCUCGAAAGGGCUUUUGCAAGGUCCAAAAGUUGCUUGUGAUGUAAAUCUACCCAAAGUUUAUCCUCUUCAGUAUCAUCCUAUGGAAAGAUUAUCCAUAAUUCAUAUAAAACAUCAAAGAAUCAAAUGUUCAUAUAAAACUAAUAGCACUAUAAAAUUUUUUUAGAUUUUUAGCAAUAAAAAAUUUGAUCACAAAUUUAUCCAUUUUUAUUAAUAAAAAUUAUUAAUAAUUAAAAAUAUUUCAUCAUUAGGUGGUCACUAAAAGCAUCGUAACUAAAGAUUUUAGUGAUCAAAUAUAAAAUCAUCAGAAAAAAUUAUUAUAUUUAUUAACAAAAUAUAAAUGACCAUUAAAGAUAAAUAUUAGUGACGAUUAUAUUUAUAGUAAAAGAUUAAAAAAUGAUCAUUAAAGAGUUGAAAAAUGAUAAAUUGAUAAGAAAUUAAUGGUCAAAAAUAAAUUUUAACAAGAACUUAAUAUCAUCGCCAAAAUCUAUUUUGCAAUGAAUUUUUGUUGGUCACAAUAAGUUGAUACAAUUAGUGAUAAAAUAAAAAUGAUCAUUAAAGAUAAAUUUUUAUAAAAUUUUUUAUAAAAAAUAUUUAUUUUUUUAAUAAAUAAUUUAUUAAAAUAAAAUAUUUUUAUUAUAAAUUAGGAUUGUACGAACUUCAAAUAGGGAUUUUAUAAAAUACAAGUGAUUGAACCUAAGAUCAAUUAAAUAUUUACCUACUACUGAACCAUUAUGACAAUAACUUUUAAUAUAGAAUUAUGAUUUAUUAUACUUAUUUAAAAUUUUAUAUAUUAUAAAAUAUUCUAAUUCAUAUAUAUUAUGAUAUUUAAUUUUUAUAAAUAUUUGAUCCAUCAAAAAAUUCUUGUUAAAUAUAAAUCUAUAAUAAACUUUAUUAAAUUGAAUUCUAAUAUGACAUAUGAAUUUUAGUACUUAAAUAUAUUUAAAAAAUCUAUCAAGUAUCCAAUCAAAAUCAUAUAGUGUUAGUUACAUUUUAUCAUUCUCUAAUCUUACUUUAACUCUCACGAUGAUUGAUUUGACUUUAACAGCAUACUGAAUACAAAGUCAAGAUUUACAUCUUAUUUUAGUAAUUAACAUAUAUAUUAUUUAAAUAUUAUUAUAAUUAAUAUUUUUAGUGAUGAUAUCAUUUUUUCAUCAUUAAUAUGAAAGAUUUUAGUAAUAACAUAUAAAGAUUGAUACUAAAAACAUAAAUUAUUAAUGACCACUCUACACUUUUAUCAUUAAUAGUAUAUAUCUAUGGUAACUAUUUUAAAAUAUCAUCACAAAAUAUAUAUGCUUUAGUGAUGAAUUAUAAAAUCAUCAUUAGUAGAUUGAUCAAUAUUCAUUUUAAUGAAUAUUUUAUAAAUUCAACAUUAAAAGAUAUAUACAUAUGGUGAUCAUCUUAAAAUAUUAUUUCAAAAGAUACAAGUUUUCAUGAUAAAUUAUAAAAUUAUCACUAAUGAUUUGACUAACAUCGAUGUUGACAUCAAAAUUAUUAUAAUAUAAUAUUUUAUCACUAGAAAUAUAGAUUUUUAAUGACUACAUAAGUUUUCUAAUUAAAGAUAUAUAUCUAGAUGAUCAUUUUAAAAUAUCAUCACUAAAUAAAUAAAUUUAUACGAUGAAUUAUAAAAUUAUCACUAAUCAGUUAACCAAAAUAACUUUUGAUGUGAAAAUUAUUUUUCCAUCAUAAAAAACUUUAUUUAAUAAUAAUUUUUGACGAUAAAUUAAAAAAUAAUCAGAAUNNNNNNNNNNNNNNNNNNNNNNNNNNNNNNNNNNNNNNNNNNNNNNNNNNNNNNNNNNNNNNNNNNNNNNNNNNNNNNNNNNNNNNNNNNNNNNNNNNNNNNNNNNNNNNNNNNNNNNNNNNNNNUAUAUUUAUUAGAAUAAAUAAAAUAAAUACAAUAUAUAUAUAUAUAUAUAUAUAUAUAUAUAUAUAUUAUUAUAAAAUAUUAUUUUAUUAUUAAAAAUGUUAAUUAAAAUGAUUUGUGGAUAACUCUUCCACUUUCUUCGUAUGCUCUCCACAAUAUCUUCAAGGUGCCAUUGCUAGCAGCGGUGGACUGUGCAUCAGCCUCAACAGAGUGGACCACAAAUUUCACUUCUUUUUUUAGCCCUGCUGAUGCCUUGUCGCUAGGAGCAAAUCAUGUUAACCUACUGUGACAACUCAGGACAGAGUACGAAUUUCUUGGUCUCAUGUCCUGUUCAGUUCAAGAACAGAAAGGAAUGUACAGCGGCAGAUCUGCAAUACAAUGAUAAAAGAUACAAUCAGUAUGUACUUAUGGUUCAUCUCGUGCCGUUGGCCCCAUAAUCAAUACCUAUCCUUCAUUAGAUGCAUCUGGAGAUUACACAUGUUAUACACAGUAAAGCAAUCAUCACUUGAACAUGUAUUACAAUCAAGGAGCUCGAACAAAUCCCCCAUAGAAAUGAUCCCUUGACCAUCUUAAGCAGCGUACACGAGUUGAAGGCCCUCCAUGCAAUGCAUGUUAGAUGAUUCCUUUUCCCAUCCUAUAUUUGAGCUACGUUACGGGGCUGGCACCAUCCAUCAUGCGGUGAACGGUAGCACGAUGCAUCACGUGCACGGUAGAAGAUCCCCAUUUAUGUUCGGUUUGGACGGUUAGGUCCACCCAAAAUCCCUCUGUUCCCUCGGAAUCUCCCGCGGUGAUGUGGUAUCAAUCCAAGAUCGAGUCUUUUCCCUCAAUUGAUCUCAAAUCUCUGCUAAAAGUUCGAUCUUUUGGCUAGAAAUUUGAUCUCGUUGCCAAAAAAACAUAUAAUGUUUCCAGGUCUCGGUGCUGGCGCCCAACGUGCCGGCCAUGUACGAGAUGCACUUCGGCGUACCGAUGAGCGGCGCCGUCCACAACACCAUCAACCUCCGCCUCGACGCCCGCACCAU